CAGGAGACGCCGCAGCCCCAAAGCCGCCGUUGUCGUCACCUCCGCCAUCAUCGCCGUCCUUUGCCCAGUCUUGGCCCCGCCCACUCCACGUCGUAUUGGUCGAAAAGUGGAGCGCAAGAAAGCAACUUCUGGCGCGGCGCGGCGCCUCUCAUGCCCAGGAUCCCUCCCGUUCUAAGAGGGAGAAAUGAGCAUCUUGGCAGUCAAAGAGUGAUGUACACCUGACUAUCUGAAUGUUGCUUACCUGUAACAGAUGAUCCUUGAGUGAUCCUGGAUAUUCACACAACGGGGACAUGCACCUGCACUGUAGACUGAUCGGGAAGAUUCUAAAGCUCUGUGCAAUGCUCCUUACUCCGUCCACUAUGUGAGUGUGUUUGUUAUACCGGGUGGUUGGAGCACUGCUAUCCUUGGUUCUUGGACGACCGUCGAACUUCAGUGACUAUCAUGAGAGGAACUGGAUAAGUGAACCUGAGCUGGCAAACCUUCAAAUCCAAAGCAGUAAGAAGAACCUUCCGAAGCAUCCUUACUCAGCAGCAGUCGGAAAGGAACUAAGGAUAGUGGCGCUCCAACCACCCUGUAUAAUGAACACACUUAUGUAGUGAGUGGAGUCAGGAGGGUCGCGCAAGGUUUUAGAAUCUGCAUAACAACUGAACAGAGUACAGUGAAGGCACAAAACCUUAUCUUUACAGAUCCUUUAAUAUAGUCAAUUUAAGACUACCUUACAACUCACAAAAACAACUUCUUAUUCAAAUAUGGUUAACAUUACCUUUUGGUAUUUUGUUUUUUCCCCAUACUUCUCAAUUUUAUCACUUUCCUGGCGGGAUCUAUAGGAUACUGAAAAGAUGACUGGUAAAUGUCAGAGAUCAAAGCUUUGCCUUGUGGUGGCAGCAGAUCAAAGCUUUGCCUUGUGGAGCCCCUGGUGGCGCAGUGGUAAAACUGCCGCCCUGUAACCAGAAGGUUGCAAGAUCGAUCCUGACCAGGGGCUCAAGGUUGACUCAGCCUUCCAUCCUUCCAAGGUCAGUAAAAUGAGUACCCAGAAAUGUUGGGGGCAAUAUGCUAAAUCAUUGUAAACCGCUUAGAGAGCUUCCAGCUAUAGAGUGGUAUAUAAAUGUAAGUGCUAUUGCUAUUGCUAUAUGAAACUGAAUUAGAUAAUCAGAUUUUUCACGUAUUCUAUAUGCCAUAGGUCAGCCUUAUAGGUUUCCAGGAAAGUGAUUAAGCUGACAGGAAUAGCUUUAUUAGUCAUUAUUUUCAUCUGAAAUAGGUUUUCUUAGCUGAUGACACACACAAUUUUUAUCUCAAUCCAUUUGUUUUCAUCCUUUACAUUCUCUGGUAAAUGAUCAGGAUGAAAGACUAUAACGAACUAAUGUUGCCUGCCUUUUCACCAUAAUAAGCUUUUUAUGUGUAUUACAGAAGUUUUCAAAACGUUUAAUGUGUGUUAGACUGGUAGCUGUUCUAGCUUUAACUCAUUUAAGUCUUCUUCAAAUGUUUCUUUCAUUUCCCCUUUGUUACAAAGUCAGUAUUUUACAAUCUGUUUGAUGCUAACAGAGUUAAAUUAAAAGGCUUUUAAGAAAAGAGUCAGAAAAGUAAAAUUAUGCACUUUCUGUUUAAGAUUAAGAACAAAUAGUGGAAGCACUUCUAAAAUGUCUGUCCCUGGUGAUAUUGGUUUGGGGGAAGUUUUCUUCAAUUCUUAAAAGCUUUUUCAUUAAAAAAAAUUGUUCAAGUUUCUGAAAGAUUGCCCAGUCCUUUACAAAACUUCUAUAACCAAAAGGACCUCAUAAUUACCUGCAAAGUUUUCAAAGAUACCCCCUCAUUUCUAUUUCUCUUACCAACACAGAUUGUACAUUUAAAGCGACAUACUACAACCUGUUAGAGUGCAGAAGCCUCACUGUUCAGUUGUCUGGAAACAAACAAGAAUUGGUCUCUGAAGGCCCCUUUCUGCAGACCUCUGCAAGUAAGCUCCUGUAGGUUACCCAGUCUUCCUAUCUCUGACUCAGAAGCUGACAACUCUACCAUAAUGCUCCCUGUAUAAAGUUAUCUAAACAGCUUUUAUUUGUAUACAGCCCAGGAAAAGCAGGUGCUGUACACCAGUCCAAGUUAAGUACAAGCCAAAUCUACAGUUUAAUGAUAGGACACCAAAGGGAGUGGAUAAAAACAGGAAAAGAGAAAGAUCAAUUCAGAUCUGUUGCUCUGGAUCCUAAACAAAAUGGUGGUGGCAGAAAGCCAAACAGCUGAACAGAAGGAAGCAAUUCCUUUCCAGGAGCAAGAGAGAAAGGAUACACAUUAGAAAUGAAUGAUGCUACUAAGCAGAACAGGGAGAAGGCUAGUAAUAGAAAAGUAGGACAAGUAAUGCAGGGUGGGGACAUCAGCACAGAGAAAUAGGGAAGAGAAGCAAGACUGGGAAGAAUGAUCGGAGGCUGCAGCAUUAUUUCCUGAAGGAUGGAAGCUCUUUACACUCCAGAGAGUACAUUCGCUUCCUAUAACCUUCUAGGUCUAAUCUAUGCUCCUAGUUUUGUGCUACAAAGCCCUAAGCAUUUUCAGUCCUCGAUACUUUGGAAGCCUUUUACUCACCUUACGAUCUAUAUCUUCAUGCCCAAGGCAGAUCCUCAUAAUAUAUAAUGAAUGCAUCAGCUCAGGACAAAAAAAGGCAUGGUGGGAUGUUUUCUUGAGGGCUGCUCCACAGUUAACAUCCGCCCCAGCAAGUGGAACAAACUCUGAGUAAACUCCAUAAAGCAUGUAAGAGUGGGGAGAUUGGUAGGGGAUCACCAGAUUGAACAUUUUUCUUAGGUCUGAAGAAAUGUCUAUAACCUAAGCACUUAAGACUUCAACACUAAGAAUUAGACAUUUGGGAAGAAUCUAUCUAUCUAUCUAUCUAUCUAUCAAUCAUACACUAAGGUCCUAUGUGGCAAGCCCUGCCCUGGGCCGCCCACACAGUGCUUUACCAGUCAGAGGUAACAGAACAGAAGCACUGUGGUGAUUGGGCAGUGGGGAUUCCA
This is a long non-coding RNA of Hemicordylus capensis (graceful crag lizard), 2990 nucleotides long. RefSeq lists it as uncharacterized. NCBI's taxonomy places the organism in Eukaryota, Metazoa, Chordata, Lepidosauria, Squamata, Cordylidae. The record is from RefSeq and is a predicted model, not a curated record. The transcript is spliced from 4 exons.